Molecule: non-coding RNA, 237 nt
Organism: Pelobates cultripes (western spadefoot toad)
Lineage: Eukaryota; Metazoa; Chordata; Amphibia; Anura; Pelobatidae
Source: the annotation of a GenBank genome assembly
GCUCUACCAAAUUGCCAUGGUAACGUUCUAACUCACUGAAUGAGUGCCGACCAAAAGGAGUAUGUACUGUGUACCCCAUGGACACAGAGCAGACCACACUCUGCUCCACUAGACCACCAUGGAUAUCUACCAGCAUCCACUUGACCCCAGGGAUUAAACUCCCCGACUCGCAUUAAAGGGGCACCAUUGUCACAAGAACAACUACAGAUUAAUGUAGUUGUUCUGGUGAGUAUAGAC